CGCCUCACAGUUACUGUAAACUCGAGUCAGGACCUGCAGCAAUGGCAUCACUACAACAUGAGGAAGAAGUCCAGCGCAGAUCAAACACAAACACAAGGGGAUGACGCAUAAAAACAAACUUCUUGUUGAUGUUUUGAACCUCACUUUGAGAAGCGAAACAGUCAGUACCAGGAAGAACUGGUGUGUCUUAGGUUCAUGCUAA
RNAcentral lists this long non-coding RNA (202 nucleotides) under Oreochromis niloticus (Nile tilapia). RNAcentral describes it as "lncRNA (ENSONIG00000027955.1)". The record is from RNAcentral. Lineage: Eukaryota; Metazoa; Chordata; Actinopteri; Cichliformes; Cichlidae.